CAGAGCGCGGGGUCCUUCGGCGCCGUCGCGGGCUUCGCCAUCGCCGUCGUCUUCGCGUGGAAGUUCCUGCGCUCCUCCUCGACGCCCAGGCCCCGCCGGCCCGCCGCCCCCAAGCGGCCCUCGGCCGCCGGCUCGGCCGCGCUCGCCCCCGACGGCCCGGCCGAGCCCGCCGGCGACUCUGGGACGCUGACGAGGCGGCAGAUCGUGGCGAGGCGGCUCGGUGGGUGCAGAAGGGUCACUUGCCAACUAAUCGGUAUUGUAUUUGAGGAGAAAACUCCCGAGGAGCUUCAGAACCAUGCCACUGUUAAGCCCUCAGUGGUGGAACUACUACUAGAAAUAUCCAAAUACUGUGAUUUUUAUCUGAUGGAAACUGUACUUGAUGAUAAGAGUGAGGAGAAUGCUCUUAUGGCUCUGGAGAAUGCCGGGCUUUUCAAGUCUGGUGGCUUGAUGAAAGAAAAGGUACUCUUUUGCAGCAGUGAAGUAGGCCGAACUUCGUUUGUUCGACAGUUGGAGUCGGAUUUCCACAUCGACGCAAGCCUCGAGAUAAUUUCCCAACUAUCUCGGUUCAUUCGGUGCCAGCUAUUCGUGUCCUCCAUGGAAGGAGGACAGCUCGCAGCCAAUGUAUUUAACUCCCCGAGCCUGGAGCAGUUCUUCUCUUGA
Molecule: ribosomal RNA, 660 nt
Filed under: Triticum aestivum (bread wheat)
Lineage: Eukaryota; Viridiplantae; Streptophyta; Magnoliopsida; Poales; Poaceae
Description: partial small subunit ribosomal RNA
Source: RNAcentral